AUGGUGAAUAGGCUGUGGCCUCUCUUAACUGAGCUUAUUUCUGAAAAUCAAAGUGCCUUCAUCCCUGGGAGGCUCAUCUCUGAUAACUCCAUCAUCGCGUUUGAGUGCAUUCAUCACAUCCAAAACGCCAAAGCAAACUCACAAUCGUUGUGUGCGUACAAACUGGAUUUGUCAAAGGCUUAUGACCGUGUUGAUUGGAACUUCCUGCAGAGGGCUCUCUCUAAGUGGGGAUUCUCCGAUGAAUGGAUCUCUCGCGUUAUGGCAUGUGCUACAUACAUGAAGUACUCGAUAAAAUUCAAUGGGAAAUCGUUGGAACGCUUCUCCCCCUCAAGAGGGCUCCGCCAAGGUGAUCCAUUAUGCCCCUUCCUCUUCCUCUUUGUGGCUGAUGCUCUUUCUAUUCUUCUGUAUAAGUCAAUGAGAGAAGAAGGACUACAAGGGGUCAAGAUAUGCAGGAGUGCUCCGGUGAUAUCACAUCUUUUGUUUGCGGAUGACUCACUUCUGUUUUUUCACACAUCGGAACAGCAAGCUAGUUUGGUCAAAGGUGUGUUGAACACGUAUACGGCGACGACAGGACAAUUAAUCAACCCGUCGAAGUGCUCCAUCCUUUUUUCAAAUAAUUGCUUGCCAAGUGUGGUACAAGAGGUUAAGUCUGUUCUGGAGAUUACACAAGAAGUUUUUGAACCGAAGUACUUGGGCCUCCCGGUCCCAGAAGGAAGAAUGCACAAAGGGAACUUUGAAACCAUCCAGGAUUGGUUGCGCAAGAAGCUCAUUGAUUGGAGUGAGCAAUAUGUGUCUUCUGGCAAUAAGGAGAUUUUGAUCAAGGCGGUAGCACAGGCCCUACCUACUUAUGUCAUGAGUGUCUUUAAGCUCCCUGCCUCCGUUUGUGAUGAGCUGACUCGUAUGAUUCAUCAAUAUUGGCGAGGAGUUGAAAACGGGAAGAAGAAGAUGGCCUGGAUGAGUUGGGACAGAUUUAGGCUACCUAAACCUAUGGGUGGCAUGGGGUUUAAGGAUAUGAGGGCGUUUAAUCAAGCAUUGUUGGCCAAACAAGCUUGGCGCCUAAUAGACACGCCGGACAGCCUCCGUGCAUGUCUUAUGAAAGUCAGAUACUACCCUUCGGGACAACUGUUGGAUACGUCGUUCUCAGGCAGCGGUUCUUCAGUGUGGAAGGGUAUUUUACAUGGUCUCGAUCUGUUA
Molecule: ribosomal RNA, 1194 nt
Filed under: Triticum aestivum (bread wheat)
Lineage: Eukaryota; Viridiplantae; Streptophyta; Magnoliopsida; Poales; Poaceae
Description: partial small subunit ribosomal RNA
Source: RNAcentral